Molecule: ribosomal RNA, 301 nt
Filed under: uncultured bacterium
Lineage: Bacteria
Description: partial 16S ribosomal RNA
Rfam family: Bacterial small subunit ribosomal RNA
Source: RNAcentral
CAGUAGCCACGGUAAAACGUAUGGUGCAAGCGUUAAUCGGAAUUACUGGGCGUAAAGCGUGCGCAGGCGGUUAUAUAAGACAGAUGUGAAAUCCCCGGGCUCAACCUGGGAACUGCAUUUGUGACUGUAUAGCUAGAGUACGGCAGAGGGGGAUGGAAUUCCGCGUGUAGCAGUGAAAUGCGUAGAUAUGCGGAGGAACACCGAUGGCGAAGGCAAUCCCCUGGGCCUGUACUGACGCUCAUGCACGAAAUCGUGGGGAGCAAACAGGAUUAGAUACCCCGGUAGUCCCUGUCUCUUAUAC